This 485-nucleotide ribosomal RNA is filed under the name uncultured bacterium. RNAcentral describes it as "bacterial SSU rRNA". It matches the Rfam family "Bacterial small subunit ribosomal RNA", at positions 39 to 481 of the family's 1533-position model. The record is from RNAcentral.
GGCCGCGGGAAUUCGAUUCAGGCCUAACACAUGCAAGUCGAGCGCAGGAAACUGACGAAACUCUUCGGAGGGAAGGCAGUGGAAUGAGCGGCGGACGGGUGAGUAACACGUAAGGAACCUGCCUCAAGGAUUGGGAUAACUCCGAGAAAUCGGAGCUAAUACCGGAUAGUUCAACGGACCGCAUGGUCCGCUGAUGAAAGGCGCUUCGGCGUCACCUUGAGAUGGCCUUGCGGUGCAUUAGCUAGUUGGUGAGGUAACGGCCCACCAAGGCGACGAUGCAUAGCCGACCUGAGAGGGUGAUCGGCCACACUGGGACUGAGACACGGCCCAGACUCCUACGGGAGGCAGCAGUAGGGAAUCUUCCACAAUGGACGAAAGUCUGAUGGAGCAACGCCGCGUGAGUGAUGAAGGUUUUCGGAUCGUAAAACUAUGUGGUAAGGGAAGAACACGUACGAGAGGUAAUGCUCGUACCUUGACGGUACCUA